RNAcentral lists this ribosomal RNA (775 nucleotides) under Escherichia coli. Its description in RNAcentral is "partial 23S ribosomal RNA". It matches the Rfam family "Bacterial large subunit ribosomal RNA", at positions 418 to 1194 of the family's 2925-position model. Lineage: Bacteria; Pseudomonadati; Pseudomonadota; Gammaproteobacteria; Enterobacterales; Enterobacteriaceae. The record is from RNAcentral.
CGGGACACGUGGUAUCCUGUCUGAAUAUGGGGGGACCAUCCUCCAAGGCUAAAUACUCCUGACUGACCGAUAGUGAACCAGUACCGUGAGGGAAAGGCGAAAAGAACCCCGGCGAGGGGAGUGAAAAAGAACCUGAAACCGUGUACGUACAAGCAGUGGGAGCCUCUUUUAUGGGGUGACUGCGUACCUUUUGUAUAAUGGGUCAGCGACUUAUAUUCUGUAGCAAGGUUAACCGAAUAGGGGAGCCGAAGGGAAACCGAGUCUUAACUGGGCGUUAAGUUGCAGGGUAUAGACCCGAAACCCGGUGAUCUAGCCAUGGGCAGGUUGAAGGUUGGGUAACACUAACUGGAGGACCGAACCGACUAAUGUUGAAAAAUUAGCGGAUGACUUGUGGCUGGGGGUGAAAGGCCAAUCAAACCGGGAGAUAGCUGGUUCUCCCCGAAAGCUAUUUAGGUAGCGCCUCGUGAAUUCAUCUCCGGGGGUAGAGCACUGUUUCGGCAAGGGGGUCAUCCCGACUUACCAACCCGAUGCAAACUGCGAAUACCGGAGAAUGUUAUCACGGGAGACACACGGCGGGUGCUAACGUCCGUCGUGAAGAGGGAAACAACCCAGACCGCCAGCUAAGGUCCCAAAGUCAUGGUUAAGUGGGAAACGAUGUGGGAAGGCCCAGACAGCCAGGAUGUUGGCUUAGAAGCAGCCAUCAUUUAAAGAAAGCGUAAUAGCUCACUGGUCGAGUCGGCCUGCGCGGAAGAUGUAACGGGGCUAAACCAUGCAC